GUAACAAGGUUUCCGUAGGUGAACCUGCGGAAGGAUCAUUACUGAGUGGCUGUAUUCGUGCUUCUCUUCGGAGACGCGAAGCUACCCGACCUGAUGUCAUUUUAUCCGAGGGCGCGCCCGCUUGAGAAGACAGCGGUUUGACGUUGUGGUGUUACCCGGACGAGGCGCUUGUCUCGUAAGGGGAAGCUUCCGGGUCGGGCCGUGGCGCGUUCCUUGGCACAACUUUCCGCGGAAGUGGUAGGCGUUGACUUGCCCGCCGCGGGCCAUACUUUUCACAACUCUCGAAGAAAACCUGAAGUCUGAAUACCAAAACAAAAACGAAAAGCAAAACUUUCAACAACGGAUCUCUUGGCUCUGGCAACGAUGAAGAACGCAGCGAAACGCGAAAGGUAAUGCGAAUUGCAGAAUCAGUGAGUCAUCGAAUCUUUGAACGCACAUUGCGCCUCUCGGUAUUCCGGGAGGCACGCCUGUUCGAGCGCCAUUACAAACUCCAAGCGUGGCUUGAUGUUGGGCGAUGUCUUUUUGCGAGAGCGGGAGACACGCCUGGAACGCGUUGGCGCCGCCGCCGGACCACGAGCGUAGCAAGACGAGAGUCAAUCGCAUCGAUUUGGUUUCCGACGGAGGUCCGCCUUGUGACUGCACUUUCGAGUGUAGUUGAAAAACUUCUCAAGUUUGGCCUCGGAUCAGGCGGGGAUACCCGCUGAACUUAAGCAUAU
RNAcentral lists this unclassified non-coding RNA (716 nucleotides) under Scolecobasidium musae. RNAcentral describes it as "Ochroconis musae sequence contains 18S rRNA gene, ITS1, 5.8S rRNA gene, ITS2, 28S rRNA gene". The stretch from base 329 to 481 matches the Rfam family "5.8S ribosomal RNA". The record is from RNAcentral. Lineage: Eukaryota; Fungi; Ascomycota; Dothideomycetes; Venturiales; Sympoventuriaceae.